Molecule: ribosomal RNA, 292 nt
Filed under: uncultured bacterium
Lineage: Bacteria
Description: partial 16S ribosomal RNA
Rfam family: Bacterial small subunit ribosomal RNA
Source: RNAcentral
GUGUCAGCAGCCGCGGUAAAACGUAGGUGACAAGCGUUAUCCGGAUUUACUGGGCGUAAAGCGUGUGCAGGCGGGGGGAUAAGUGGUGUAUGAAAUCGCUCGGCUUAACCGGGCGCGGUUAUGCCAGACUGUCCUUCUGGAGCGCGAGAGAGGAGCGUGGAAUUCCGGGUGUAGUGGUGAAAUGCGUAGAGAUCCGGAGGAACCCCAGAGGCGAAGGCGGCGCUCUGGCUCGCGACUGACGCUCAGACACGACAGCAUGGGGAGCGAACGGGAUUAGAUACCCCCGUAGUCC